Molecule: ribosomal RNA, 1445 nt
Filed under: Paraburkholderia kururiensis
Lineage: Bacteria; Pseudomonadati; Pseudomonadota; Betaproteobacteria; Burkholderiales; Burkholderiaceae
Description: bacterial SSU rRNA
Rfam family: Bacterial small subunit ribosomal RNA
Source: RNAcentral
GCUGCUUACACAUGCAAGUCGAACGGCAGCGCGGGCUUCGGCCUGGCGGCGAGUGGCGAACGGGUGAGUAAUACAUCGGAACGUAUCCUGGAGUGGGGGAUAGCCCGGCGAAAGCCGGAUUAAUACCGCAUACGCUCUGAGGAGGAAAGCGGGGGACCUUCGGGCCUCGCGCUCAAGGGGCGGCCGAUGGCGGAUUAGGUAGUUGGUGGGGUAAAGGCCUACCAAGCCGACGAUCCGUAGCUGGUCUGAGAGGACGACCAGCCACACUGGGACUGAGACACGGCCCAGACUCCUACGGGAGGCAGCAGUGGGGAAUUUUGGACAAUGGGGGCAACCCUGAUCCAGCAAUGCCGCGUGUGUGAAGAAGGCCUUCGGGUUGUAAAGCACUUUUGUCCGGAAAGAAAUCAUCGGGGCCAAUACCCCUGGUGGAUGACGGUACCGGAAGAAUAAGCACCGGCUAACUACGUGCCAGCAGCCGCGGUAAUACGUAGGGUGCGAGCGUUAAUCGGAAUUACUGGGCGUAAAGCGUGCGCAGGCGGUGUAAAGACCCGAAUGUGAAAAUGCCCCUGGACUUAACCGUGGGAAAUUGGCAUUUGGUGAGCUAGCAGCGACUGGAGUAUGAGCAGAGGGGGUGUGGACAUUGCCAUCGUGUAGCAAGUGAAAUUGCGUAUGAGAUGUGGACGGACACACCGAUGGCGAAGGUCAGCCCUCUGGGACAAUACUGGCGGUCAUGCACGAAGGCGUGGGGAGCAAACAGAGAUUAGAUACCAUGGUAGUCCACGCCCUAAGCGAUGUCAACUGGUUGUUGGGGAUUCAUUUCAUUAGUAACGUAGCUAACGCGUGAAGUUGACCGCGUGGGGAGUACGGUCGCAAGAUUAAAACUCAAAGGAAUUGACGGGGACCCGCACAAGCGGUGGAUGAUGUGGAUUAAUUCGAUGCAACGAGAAAAACCUUACCUACCCUUGACAUGUACGGAACCCUGGUGAGAGCCGGGGGUUCCCGAAAGGGAGCCGUAACACAGGUGCUGCAUGGCUGUCGUCAGCUCGUGUCGUGAGAUGUUAGGUUAAGUCCCGCAACGAGCGCAACCCUUGUCCCCAGAUCAUACGCAAGAGCACUCCGGGGAGACUGCCGGUGACAAACCGGAGGAAGGUGGGGAUGACGUCAAGUCCUCAUGGCCCUUAUGGCUAGGGCUUCACACGUCAUACAAUGGUCGGAACAGAGGGUUGCGAAGCCGCGAGGUGGAGCCAAUCCCAGAAAACCGAUCGUAGUCCGGAUUGCAGUCUGCAACUCGACUGCAUGAAGCUGGAAUCGCUAGUAAUCGCGGAUCAGCAUGCCGCGGUGAAUACGUUCCCGGGUCUUGUACACACCGCCCGUCACACCAUGGGAGUGGGUUUUGCCAGAAGUGGCUAGUCUAACCGCAAGGAGGACAGGUCACCACAGCAGAU